UGCCAGAAUAGCUCAGUGGUAGAGCAAAAGACUGAAAAUCUUUGUGUGGUUUGUUCGAUUCAGACUUUUGGCAA
Molecule: transfer RNA, 74 nt
Filed under: Hariotina sp. MMOGRB0030F
Lineage: Eukaryota; Viridiplantae; Chlorophyta; Chlorophyceae; Sphaeropleales; Scenedesmaceae
Description: tRNA-Phe
Rfam family: tRNA
About the family: Transfer RNA (tRNA) molecules are approximately 80 nucleotides in length.
Source: RNAcentral